AAAAAUAUGGAAUGCUUCACAAAUUUGCAUGUCAUCCUUGCGCAGGGGCAUGCUAAUCUUCUCUGUAUCGUUCUAAUUUUAGUAUAUGUGCUGCUGAAGCAAGCAC
RNAcentral lists this small nuclear RNA (106 nucleotides) under Cricetulus griseus (Chinese hamster). The record is from RNAcentral. Lineage: Eukaryota; Metazoa; Chordata; Mammalia; Rodentia; Cricetidae.